Molecule: transfer RNA, 73 nt
Filed under: Marmota monax (woodchuck)
Lineage: Eukaryota; Metazoa; Chordata; Mammalia; Rodentia; Sciuridae
Description: tRNA.Val
Rfam family: tRNA
About the family: Transfer RNA (tRNA) molecules are approximately 80 nucleotides in length.
Source: RNAcentral
GGGGUUGUGGCUCAGAGGUAGAGUGUUUGCCUAACAUGCAUGAGGCACUGAGUGUGAUCCUCAGCAACACACA